ACAGUUGGCAUUUCUGGAAGAUUCAAUGGCAGGCAAUGGCCUGCUAACAUUAGGCCCUGUGAAAUAUAAUUUGUGUGAUUCUGUUCUAAUUUGUACUUUGCCAAGUGGGGGCAUUGUUUCAUCUCUCUGUUUUAUUUCAUGUGAGCAGUCGGCCAACUGCAUUGCAAGACAAGACUAGGGAGAUUGAUGAGGAUGAUGUCCAUGAUAGGGAUUAUGAUGUUGCAGCUCUUGCAAAUAAUUUAAGCCAAGCAUUCAUAUACAACGCUACGCAAUUACUUGACAGGAAAUCAAGUCGAGAAAACAUUCAGAGCUGGAAGUAAGAAUCCAGUCAUAUUAGGUUCUAAACAAAAGUUGGAAAGUUGACAUAAGCGACUCUUGGAAAAGCUAGAAAAUUGGGAUCCAGUAGCUGUCAAAGUACGCGGAAGCAUUUUGUUCUUGAGACUAGUUGGAGAUUUACAUGGUGCAAUUUGGAUUGUCUACUCAAAUUUUUGUAGGUAGUGAUUGUUCAUUUUUUUUGUUGGUUGUAUAUUAUUUGUGGAAGAGGUGAUUAACAAGGACCAAUGAAUCUGUAUCAAAUCUAAUUUUUUAAGAUAUUCAUGGAGAUGGUUGGAUUGACAGAUCAA
Molecule: long non-coding RNA, 623 nt
Organism: Olea europaea var. sylvestris
Lineage: Eukaryota; Viridiplantae; Streptophyta; Magnoliopsida; Lamiales; Oleaceae
Exons: 2
Source: RefSeq, a predicted model, not a curated record